CCUACGGGCGGCAGCAGUGGGGAAUAUUGCGCAAUGGGCGAAAGCCUGACGCAGCGACGCCGCGUGAGGGAUGAAGGUCUUCGGAUCGUAAACCUCUGUCAGCAGGGAAGAACGGUCACUGUGCUAAUCAGCAGUGAAUUGACGGUACCUGCAAAGGAAGCACCGGCUAACUCCGUGCCAGCAGCCGCGGUAAUACGGAGGGUGCGAGCGUUAAUCGGAAUUACUGGGCGUAAAGAGUUGCGUAGGUGGCAUAAUAAGUAGCUAGUGAAAUCUGGUGGCUCAACCAUUCAGACUAUUAGCUAAACUGUUAAGCUCGAGACCGUUAGGGGUAACUGGAAUUUCUAGUGUAGGAGUGAAAUCCGUAGAUAUUAGAAAGAACACCGAUAGCGUAGGCAGGUUACUGGGACGGUUCUGACACUAAGGCACGAAAGCGUAGGGAGCAAACGGGAUUAGAUACCCCAGUAGUC
This 467-nucleotide ribosomal RNA is filed under the name uncultured bacterium. Its description in RNAcentral is "partial 16S ribosomal RNA". It matches the Rfam family "Bacterial small subunit ribosomal RNA", at positions 338 to 795 of the family's 1533-position model. The record is from RNAcentral.